CGUUAAUCGGAAUUACUGGGCGUAAAGCGCGCGUAGGUGGUUAGGUAAGCGAGAUGUGAAAGCCCCGGGCUUAACCUGGGAACGGCAUUUCGAACUGUCUGACUAGAGUAUGGUAGAGGGUAGUGGAAUUUCCUGUGUAGCGGUGAAAUGCGUAGAUAUAGGAAGGAACACCAGUGGCGAAGGCGGCUACCUGGACCAAUACUGACACUGAGGUGCGAAAGCGUGGGGAGCAAACAGGAUUAGAUACCCUGGUAGUCCACGCCGUAAACGAUGUCAACUAGCCGUUGGGGAUCUUGAAUCCUUAGUGGCGCAGCUAACGCACUAAGUUGACCGCCUGGGGAGUACGGCCGCAAGGUUAAAACUCAAAUGAAUUGACGGGGGCCCGCACAAGCGGUGGAGCAUGUGGUUUAAUUCGACGCAACGCGAAGAACCUUACCUGGCCUUGACAUCCUGCGAACUUUCUAGAGAUAGAUUGGUGCCUUCGGGAACGCAGUGACAGGUGCUGCAUGGCCGUCGUCAGCUCGUGUCGUGAGAUGUUGGGUUAAGUCCCGUAACGAGCGCAACCCUUAUCCUUAGUUGCUAGCAGUUCGGCUGAGAACUCUAGGGAGACUGCCGGUGACAAACCGGAGGAAGGUGGGGAUGACGUCAGGUCAUCAUGGCCCUUACGGCCAGGGCUACACACGUGCUACAAUGGUGCGCACAGAGGGCUGCAAACUCGCGAGAGUAAGCCAAUCUCUUAAAACGCAUCGUAGUCCGGAUCGCAGUCUGCAACUCGACUGCGUGAAGUCGGAAUCGCUAGUAAUCGCGAAUCAGAAUGUCGCGGUGAAUACGUUCCCGGGCCUUGUACACACCGCCCGUCACACCAUGGGAGUGGAUUGCGCCAGAAG
This 887-nucleotide ribosomal RNA is filed under the name uncultured Marinobacter sp. RNAcentral describes it as "bacterial SSU rRNA". It matches the Rfam family "Bacterial small subunit ribosomal RNA", at positions 539 to 1426 of the family's 1533-position model. The record is from RNAcentral. Lineage: Bacteria; Pseudomonadati; Pseudomonadota; Gammaproteobacteria; Pseudomonadales; Marinobacteraceae.